UUUCUGGAGUACAUUUUUUUCUAGUCUACGUCAAAUGAAAUUUGAAGAGGACGUGAUAUAACGGGUUCUAUUUCUGCAGUAUGUUUGCAUAUGGACCAUAUUAUUUAUGCAGUUGUUCUAGAAUACGUUUGUUUCUGUUGUACAGUUUCAAAGUUAAAUAGUUCAAUUACAUUGUUUUAACAACCUUUAUUACAAAAAUGCAGGGAGCACAAAAAAAAGAUUGAAAGACAAAGUUCAAUGGGAAAUGAAAGGCAUACUGAUGAUUUUCCUAAUUGGUUUUGUGCAUGUAUCCUUCAACUAUCAGCACAAGGACAUGCAAGUGACGACCUUUUAAGCUUAGCAGUUGGUCCAGGACCAGUGGUGCAUCGAUGCUCUACAUUGAUGGUGAAUGGAUUUAGAUUCCAAACAAAAGAGCUUGAGUCGAGAAUGACAAUGCAAAAUUGUGGCGUUCUUGUGUGAGGAGAUGAUUCAGACUCUAAAAAGGAGUAUUAUGGCAUAAUAGAGGACAUUUACUAGUUGUCUUAUAGGGAAAAUAGGAAAGUUUACCUCUUCAGGUGUCAUUGAUGGGAUGUGGCUCAUUUAGUAAAAGAAUAUAAGAUUGACAAAUACGGUUUCACAAAUUUGAACACUCGUUGUGCCUUGCGUAUAGAUGAACCAUUUGUGUUGGCAUCUCAGUUUGAACAAGUCUUCUACUUGAAUGAUAUGGUUGACAAAGAGUGGCUUGUCGUUGUAAAACCAAAUACUUGUGACCUUUAUAAUAUGCCUGAAAAGAAUGAUAGUUGUAUAGAGGUUAAAGAUGAAGUGUUACUGAAUGGAAAAGCUUAUCAACAAGAGGAAAUUGAAUUUAAUAUGUUGCGUACUGACGAUCAAGAAAUUGAUAUCGUGGUGUCUUUACAUAGGGGUGGUGUUGAACCACAAAGCAUUAAUUAUAAUGAUGCAAGUGAACAGGCUCAGAAAAGUGUGCAUAAUCAGGAAGAGGAUUUCAUUGAUGACAACCAUAUAGAUAUGUGGGAGAAUGAAGAAUGCGAAGAAGAGAACAUUGACAUAGAGGACAGCGAUAUGGAGUGACCAAAGAAAUAGCUUUCUAUCGCAUCACGUUCAUCACAGAUUUUUGCAGAAAGUGCACAUCCCAUUCUAGAGAUUGAAAAUAGUGGUCCAGCAGGGACAAGGUUCUUAAACUAUUACAAAUAGAGAUGAUUAAAGAGGAGUUUGAAGACACCUUGUGUUUUAUUUAUGUCAAAGGCGUCGAAGAAGGAGGCAUUUGUAGAUAUCUAAUAUUUUGUUGUUUUUUGUCAAAGGUGUCAAAACAAGGAGGAGUUUGAAGACUGGAUACACUUUAUGUUUUAUUCCUUUUGGUGAUAUGUAAAUGCAUACAAUGGCACUAUGAUCAAGUAUUGGUAUGAUAAAGUAUUGGGUAGUGUAUGGUUAAUUGACUAUUUAGUAGGUAUUUAUUUAUAAUAUUCCGCUU
Molecule: long non-coding RNA, 1468 nt
Organism: Lycium ferocissimum
Lineage: Eukaryota; Viridiplantae; Streptophyta; Magnoliopsida; Solanales; Solanaceae
Exons: 3
Source: RefSeq, a predicted model, not a curated record